UGCUCAGGUGAGGACUCCGUUCGGCUCCUGUCUGCUGACACCCGAAGCUUUCUCUUGGUCCCUCGGUCCCGUUUUGAAGUUACUCGGGUCCCUGGCUGCCUCCUGUUCCUGGAAGAUUUCAUCCUUGGCAUUUGAAUGGGACGGGGGUGGGGGUGGGGCUGAGACGUGCACGAUCCUCUGUGAAUCUGGUUGAAUAACCCCCAGACCUCAUCCCCCGACAGCAGGACCCCUGUCAGACAAAAGGAGCCCGAAGCUGCCGGCGCUGCUCAACUUCCCUCUGGGAAAGACACCAGGAAUCCCCUCCGGUGAAAACAAAGCAGAACGAAAGCUCUCGGUGCGGAACGGCGGGGACAUUUCUCUCCGGUCACUCAUUUUGAUUGAAUCGAGUCGCCGUCUCUGAUCUGGUUCACCCACCGAUACAACAA
Long non-coding RNA from Myotis brandtii (Brandt's bat), 425 nucleotides. RefSeq lists it as uncharacterized. The record is from RefSeq and is a predicted model, not a curated record. The transcript is spliced from 2 exons. NCBI's taxonomy places the organism in Eukaryota, Metazoa, Chordata, Mammalia, Chiroptera, Vespertilionidae.